RNAcentral lists this ribosomal RNA (695 nucleotides) under uncultured bacterium. Its description in RNAcentral is "bacterial SSU rRNA". It matches the Rfam family "Bacterial small subunit ribosomal RNA", at positions 111 to 823 of the family's 1533-position model. The record is from RNAcentral.
UAACACGUGAGCAAUCUGCCUUUCAGAGGGGGAUACCGAUUGGAAACGAUCGUUAAUACCGCAUAACAUAAUUGAACCGCAUGAUUUGAUUAUCAAAGAUUUAUCGCUGAAAGAUGAGCUCGCGUCUGAUUAGCUAGUUGGUAAGGUAACGGCUUACCAAGGCGACGAUCAGUAGCCGGACUGAGAGGUUGAUCGGCCACAUUGGGACUGAGACACGGCCCAGACUCCUACGGGAGGCAGCAGUGGGGAAUAUUGCACAAUGGAGGAAACUCUGAUGCAGCGAUGCCGCGUGAGGGAAGAAGGUUUUAGGAUUGUAAACCUCUGUCUUCAGGGACGAAAAAAGACGGUACCUGAGGAGGAAGCUCCGGCUAACUACGUGCCAGCAGCCGCGGUAAUACGUAGGGAGCGAGCGUUGUCCGGAAUUACUGGGUGUAAAGGGAGCGUAGGCGGGAUCGCAAGUCAGAUGUGAAAACUAUGGGCUUAACCCAUAAACUGCAUUUGAAACUGUGGUUCUUGAGUGAAGUAGAGGUAAGCGGAAUUCCUAGUGCAGCGGUGAAAUGCGUAGAUAUUAGGAGGAACAUCAGUGGCGAAGGCGGCUUACUGGGCUUUAACUGACGCUGAGGCUCGAAAGCGUGGGGAGCAAACAGGAUUAGAUACCCUGGUAGUCCACGCCGUAAACGAUGAUUACUAGGUGU